Molecule: ribosomal RNA, 484 nt
Filed under: uncultured bacterium
Lineage: Bacteria
Description: partial 16S ribosomal RNA
Rfam family: Bacterial small subunit ribosomal RNA
Source: RNAcentral
AUUGAACGCUGGCGGUAGGCCUAACACAUGCAAGUCGAGCGGCAGAACGGUGCUUGCUUCUGGUUUCAGCGGCCGAGGGGUGAGCAGUGCCUGGAAACCUCCGUGGUUGCGUUUGCUUACGUGCGAACACGGGCGAAAUUACCGCAUUCGUCCUGAGGACCUACGUGUGAAAUCUUCGGAUCUUCCGCUCUCACACGAGCCGAGGUCGGUUUAGCUAGUUGGCGGGGUAAAGGCCUACCAAGGCGACGAUCCGUAACUGGUCUGAGAGGAUGAUCAGUCACACUGGAACUGAGACACGGUCCAGACUCCUACGGGAGGCAGCAGUGGGGAAUAUUGGACAAAGGGCGAAAGCCUGAUCCAGCCAUGCCGCGUGUGUGAAGAAGGUCUUCGGAUUGUAAAGCAUUUUAAGUGGGGAAGAAGAGCAGUAAGUUAAUACCUUGCUGUUUUGACGUUACCAACAGAAUAAGCACCGGCUAACUUCGUG